CAGAAAAUAGUUUAUUUAAAAUAUUAAUUUUGGAGAUUAAAGAUAAAGUUACUUUUUUUCUGA
RNAcentral lists this transfer RNA (63 nucleotides) under Nephus voeltzkowi. RNAcentral describes it as "tRNA-Pro". The record is from RNAcentral. Lineage: Eukaryota; Metazoa; Arthropoda; Insecta; Coleoptera; Coccinellidae.